Molecule: long non-coding RNA, 1369 nt
Filed under: Helianthus annuus (common sunflower)
Lineage: Eukaryota; Viridiplantae; Streptophyta; Magnoliopsida; Asterales; Asteraceae
Source: RNAcentral
AUGUCAGUCCCACAUUUUGAGUUUGCUGCUGGUGAAGGAUCUCAACCAGUGGAAGUUGAUGAUCCGCCAUCAGUAAGGUUCACUUGGAAAAUAGAGAAUUUCUCAAAAUUCAACCGGAGCUCCUUCGUCUCCCUAUUGUUCUCACCCAGAACCCUACCUGCACCGCAUCUUUUUUAGCAAAUCAACAAUGACAUCCAGCACGGAUUUUACAUCAAGAUCUGAAAACUAGGACAAAAUGCCCUAGCCACCCCUUCAGCUAUGACGGCUAGGGUUCCGGUCAUUAGUCAUCCGUUUUUCGUUUCAGAAUCCAUGGUGUUUAGGUUUUACAUGAAGGUGAUGUUCUAUAUGUUUUCCCGUUUCCGAGAGUUAAUAUUCACACACCGCUCCUCUUGAUCUCUUUCUCUAUAUAUCUAUGUAUAUAUAGAGAGAGAUAGAGUGGAAAAGGGCGUGAAAAUAAGAUAUAUGUGUGGGAAUAGGGAGAGCCUUUCAUAGAAGAUUAUCCUUCAAAGCUUAUAACCAGUAUUGCAGCCAUGGAUGUUGGUUCUAAUGAAACUCUGGUGAAAGUUGAGUUUUAGCGUAUGACAUGGCGAACACGGAAGAAUCGGCGAGUGCGUGACUGACUCCUUUAUUUGCUUCCCUUCUCAAGUCCGGCAUUCGGGUUUUCUAUUCAGUUGCAGGUGACAUAUUUCAUGCAGCACAACAUUGAUCAUUCCCAGGAUUUUAUAAGAAAAGCUAUAAAAGAGUGGCUGAACUGGCUCAAGAACAAUAUUGGUUAUGAUGUUGGCGCCUUGACUUUGUGAGGUUGAACGUGUCGGGUUCGGGUCAGUAUGCGAGUAUUCAGGUUGGGUUCGGGUUCAUAUGUAUGGCAUUAUUCUCGGGUUCGGGUUCGUCUAAAAUUUUCGGGUUUGGGUUGGGUUGAACCCGCCAACCUGCGAACACGACCCUUUUAGCACCCCUAGGCCUUAAAUCUUCAUAAAUGGCCAAAUAUCAAUCGCGGACAGGUAUGAAGAGACUAACCGAACUCAUGUAUCUGUUGCAUAUUUUUAUAUUUCUUGAAGUUAGUUUUAUUACAUUUUGGCAGCUUUUAGCAAUCCUUCCAUUGGAUGUUAUGCAUACAUUAGGGUUUAAAUGCUUCACCCGAUCAGCAUCUUGGCUAUUAACAAUGAGGAUAUAGAUGAGUUAGUCUCUUAUUAUUUUUUUAAACUAGUUUUCUUUAAGGCUUAUUUAUGUUGGUUAGAUGAUCUAUGUUCAACUUUAUAUAAGUUGCAACAGUUAGAAGAAUUUUGUUCUUGAUCUGUCACCCAAAGUUAUGAUUCCUAGCAUGGAGCAAAGAAUCCGUUUUCUAAAUGAGCAGGUUGUCUUUAUUUCU